Molecule: ribosomal RNA, 254 nt
Filed under: uncultured bacterium
Lineage: Bacteria
Description: partial 16S ribosomal RNA
Rfam family: Bacterial small subunit ribosomal RNA
Source: RNAcentral
CGGACGGGUGAGUAACGCGUGGACAACCUACCCGCACUGGGGGACAACAGCCGGAAACGGCUGCUAAUACCGCAUAUGCGCACGGCCCCGCAUGGGGCCGCGCGGAAAGCGCAUGCGGUGCGGGAUGGGUCCGCGUCUGAUUAGCUUGUUGGCGGGGUAACGGCCCACCAAGGCGACGAUCAGUAGCCGGCCUGAGAGGGUGGACGGCCACAUUGGGACUGAGACACGGCCCAGACUCCUACGGGAGGCAGCAG